This 74-nucleotide transfer RNA is filed under the name Holosporales bacterium. RNAcentral's name for it is "tRNA-Ile". It matches the Rfam family "tRNA". From Rfam's summary of the family: Transfer RNA (tRNA) molecules are approximately 80 nucleotides in length. Their secondary structure includes four short double-helical elements and three loops (D, anti-codon, and T loops). Lineage: Bacteria; Pseudomonadati; Pseudomonadota; Alphaproteobacteria; Holosporales. The record is from RNAcentral.
GGGCCUGUAGUUCAGAUGGUUAGAACUCCUCGCUCAUAACGAGGCUGUCGUAGGUUCGAGUCCUUCCGGGCCCA